Molecule: ribosomal RNA, 301 nt
Filed under: uncultured bacterium
Lineage: Bacteria
Description: partial 16S ribosomal RNA
Rfam family: Bacterial small subunit ribosomal RNA
Source: RNAcentral
CAGCAGCCGCGGUAAUACGUAGGUGGCGAGCGUUGUCCGGAAUUAUUGGGCGUAAAGGGCUCGCAGGCGGUUUCUUAAGUCUGAUGUGAAAGCCCCCGGCUCAACCGGGGAGGGUCAUUGGAAACUGGGAAACUUGAGUGCAGAAGAGGAGAGUGGAAUUCCACGUGUAGCGGUGAAAUGCGUAGAGAUGUGGAGGAACACCAGUGGCGAAGGCGACUCUCUGGUCUGUAACUGACGCUGAGGAGCGAAAGCGUGGGGAGCGAACAGGAUUAGAUACCCCCGUAGUCCCUGUCUCUUAUAA